Molecule: ribosomal RNA, 447 nt
Filed under: uncultured bacterium
Lineage: Bacteria
Description: bacterial SSU rRNA
Rfam family: Bacterial small subunit ribosomal RNA
Source: RNAcentral
UCGGGAAUUUUGGGCAAUGGGCGAAAGCCUGACCCAGCAACGCCGCGUGAAGGAUGAAGUAUUUCGGUAUGUAAACUUCGUAAGAAUAGGAAGAAUAAAUGACGGUACUAUUUGUAAGGUCCGGCUAACUACGUGCCAGCAGCCGCGGUAAUACGUAGGGACCAAGCGUUGUUCGGAUUUACUGGGCGUAAAGGGCGCGUAGGCGGUGUGUCAAGUCAGUUGUGAAAUCUCCGAGCUUAACUCGGAACGGUCAACUGAUACUGUCACACUAGAGUACAGAAGGGGCAAUCGGAAUUCUUGGUGUAGCGGUGAAAUGCGUAGAUAUCAAGAGGAACACCUGAGGCGAAGGCGGGUUGCUGGGCUGAUACUGACGCUGAGGCGCGAAAGCGUGGGGAGCAAACAGGAUUAGAUACCCCUGUAGUCCCUGAGCGGGCUGGCAAGGCGCAU